GCACUCCAAUCAGAGGAAAAGAAGCUUGUCGCUGAGAUAAAAAGAACAGCUAAGACAGGAAAUGAGGCAGCAACUAAAAUUCUAGCCCGGCAACUGGUCAGGCUUAGGCAACAAAUAGCUAGCUUACAAGGUAGUCGUGCUCAAAUGAGAGGCAUAGCUACUCAUACACAGGCAAUGCAUGCCCAAUCUUCAGUUGCUGUUGGUUUGAAAGGUGGCACAAAGGCAAUGGCAUCUAUGAAUAAGCAAAUGGCUCCCGCAAAGCAAGCACAGGUUAUAAGAGAAUUUCAGAGGCAAUCAGCGCAGAUGGAUAUGACGACAGAAAUGAUGUCAGAAGCCAUAGAUGAUGCCUUGGAUGAUGAUGAGGCUGAAGAAGAAACUGAUGAGUUGACGAAUCAAGUGCUAGAUGAAAUUGGUGUUGAUGUUGCCUCACAGUUGUCAACAGUGCCAAAAGGUAAAAUUGCGGGGAAGAAUGAAGAGGAUGUCCGCAGUUCGGGCAUUGAUGAGCUUGAAAAGAGGUUGGCAGCUCUGAGAAACCCUUAAAAAGAAAGAUGUCU
RNAcentral lists this unclassified non-coding RNA (554 nucleotides) under Hevea brasiliensis (rubber tree). Lineage: Eukaryota; Viridiplantae; Streptophyta; Magnoliopsida; Malpighiales; Euphorbiaceae. The record is from RNAcentral.